GAAAAGUGGAGGGAGGAAAAUAAAGGAAACGGAACUGGAGUGAAGAACUUCCACACUACGGCAAGGUUGGGAUACAAACAGAGAUGGAACUCCGACGAGGGGUCAUCCGACGAUCGUGUGAGGCGGUGCUUGGGUGGGUGGAAAUCUUGGUGUGGCUUGUGUAUAGAGAGGUCUCAAAGGCAAGGGAAGGUAUGAGAUUUAUAGAAUCUGAUUUUUUGUUUUUGUUUUGAGAAGAUGAAAUUGUGAAUUUGAUUAGUUACCUAAAUGCAUUAGCUUUGUAUUUUAUUGUGUGUGGAACCAAUGCAGAUUGGCCAACACUCAUCUUGGUUGUUGAGUGAUUUUUCACAUAUUGUUGUAUAUGAUAUUUCUCUGUGAUGUUGUGUUAGUGUUGCUGCUACUAAUCUUGGAAGUGAUGAAGUGUUUAUAUAUAAAAAUAUCCAAACCAAUUAAGGAUAUUCACAUAGCCACGUGUGUUGUUUGAGGGUAUGUUUAUUUAAUGAGUGGAUUUGUGAGAUGGGAUUAAUAUUUGAUCAGAUCUGUAAGGUGGGGAAGUCCCAACAUAUGAAUCUGAUAUCUUUGAUUAAUCAUUAUAGGUUAAUACGUAUGGUGAGGUAAAUGUUUCAUAGAUUUAUUUUCAAUUCUCUUUUAUUUUCAGAUUUGUUGAUUCCAGAUUUGUUGGUUCCAGAUUUAUUUUCAACUCUCUUUUAAAUUUGGUUGGUUUCAGAUUUGAUGAUUAGCAUAUCUUCGACUGAUACGCUUGAUCCAUUGUUGGCCAAGCAAGCAAAGAAGACAUCUAAGUUGGACUAGUAUGUCCACUAAAAGAUUCACUCUCCAUGCACACCAUGCACGUCCACCCCAUUUAUUGCAUUUAAUAUUUUAAUAUUAUUUUAUUAUGAUUAGGGGAUAUUCAUAAUUAACCCCAUGCAAAAGUUAAUUUGAUAAGUAGCUAUAAUUUAAAAUUUCCUUCCGAUUCUAGUUGAUUGGCAAUUAACUAUAAUUUAGGAUAUUUUUAUUAUUUUAUUAAGAUAUGAUUUUAUUUGUAAGGCUAUACAAAGUCACGUUAGUAUGGAAUAAAGGAAUCAACUUUGAAUAUUAUAAUUCUUUUCAAUUGUAAGAGAUCUGAGAAGCUCUGGUCUCCUUUCCCCUGGUACGAAGCGUAUCAAUUGGUGCUUUCAAUUCGUCCAACUCACCUUCCACAAUGGUAGGAAGAGGUACUUGCUCUACGCAAAACGAGAUUGAGGAUCUUCGAGGAAGUGUGGACGAGUCCUUACAAUUUCAAGUUGCGGAGAUUGCAGUCUCUAGAGGAGAGAUGGCUAAAAUCCAAGCGGCCUUGCAAGAGAUCCUUAAUAAAGACAAAGGGAAGAGUCUGGUCGAGGAGGUUGAAUACAACAACCACCAACCAUCAGAUCGUGACAUCGAAUUCCAAUGAGGUCGUACCAGACAUCACGGUCGUCAUCAUGGUCUGAUGUAUUCACCGAACACCCGUCGCCGCUUUCGCAAUCCGGAUGAUUUCGAUGAUAAUUACACCGACGAUUACGAAAAGGAUGGCCAUAAUAUUGACCUACCGAAGGCACACUUGCGUUUUGACUUUCCGAGAUUCACUGGAAAGGAUCCCCA
This 1617-nucleotide long non-coding RNA is filed under the name Zostera marina. RNAcentral's name for it is "long non-coding RNA (ZMAR_LNC002992)". Lineage: Eukaryota; Viridiplantae; Streptophyta; Magnoliopsida; Alismatales; Zosteraceae. The record is from RNAcentral.